RNAcentral lists this ribosomal RNA (253 nucleotides) under uncultured bacterium. RNAcentral describes it as "partial 16S ribosomal RNA". It matches the Rfam family "Bacterial small subunit ribosomal RNA", at positions 524 to 776 of the family's 1533-position model. The record is from RNAcentral.
UACGAACUGUGCGAACGUUAUUCGGAAUCACUGGGCUUACAGGGUGCGUAGGCGGCUAUUCAGGUCAGGUGUGAAAUCCCCGGGCUCAACCCGGGAACUGCGUCCGAUACUGGCAGGCUUGAAUCCGGGAGAGGGAUGUGGAAUUCCAGGUGUAGCGGUGAAAUGCGUAGAUAUCUGGAGGAACACCGGUGGCGAAGGCGGCAUCCUGGACCGACACUGACGCUGAGGCGCGAAAGCUAGGGUAGCAAACGGG